Long non-coding RNA from Hypanus sabinus (Atlantic stingray), 1506 nucleotides. RefSeq lists it as uncharacterized. The transcript has 5 exons. Lineage: Eukaryota; Metazoa; Chordata; Chondrichthyes; Myliobatiformes; Dasyatidae. The record is from RefSeq and is a predicted model, not a curated record.
UUGGGAGAGCGUGUGUAAAGAGUGUUAGAUUUGAUUGUGUUGGUUUGUACAUGUCCGUCUUUGUACACAGGUAUAAUGAUCAUAUUAGAACAUCACACCUAGAAGGACCCCUUUAAAUAUACAAUAUACUGUAGAUUUUAAUUAGACAGAAUAAAAUUGGUUUUGUAUAGAUGCGCGUGUACAUCUGCAUAUAACGUAUUUGUGUUGUUUUCGAUUCCUAUCGGUUUUCCGCCUUCAAUAAUUCUGCAUACCACAAUCUCGUAUCAGAAAGCAAGUCCGUCUGUGUCUACGCUUGGCUUUUUGCAAAUCUGUUAUUGGUAAAAGGAAAGAAGCAUUGUUUUGAUUCAAAGAGCAUUCUUUUUUUUAGUCCUGAUGUAGCGUCCCGGCCCGAAACGUCGUCUGUUUAUUCUUUUCCAUCGACGCUGCCCGACUUGCUGAGUUCCUCCAGAAUUGUGUUUGUUACUCAGGACUCUUGUUUCCGUUGCCUUGUUUCACUUUAGAUACUAUCCUUCUGCCUGCAUUUAAAUGAAACCACAUUUUUUAAACCCGUGUUUCGUUUUGUUUUGAACUCUGUUUUGUUGUCCUGCUCAUUUUAUUUGGCGCGGCAGCUCCCCGCUGACCGGCUGGCUGUUUAGCUGAAUUAAUUCUGUCUCAAAUGGCAGCGGUUCAUUUAUUGUAUUUGUGGAACCGAACCAGAGACACGCUUCCAAUCUCGCAUUCCAAACUUCGAGCCUGUCUGUUGACAAACACUUAACUCAUUCUGAACUCAGAUGGGACAUAUGUUCAAAUGACAGCGCUUACAGAGGCUCAGCGAUGGUAUUCGGGGGCUGGCUUUGAGGUAAUGUGACUUCAAUAUUCUCUGAAGUCGCUCGAUGCCGUUCAAAGACCUGCAAUCUUUCUCUUGCCCCGAAGUACGCGACGAAUCUGAGUGGGUGGUUUUGGACCGGGGGAGGCUUUUGCACAACAAAGUCAGGAGCUGAUAUUGAAGCGUUUAUACCCAAGGCAGACGUGAAGGAAGACUUUGGGUGGAAGAGCGUGUGUAAUAAAUGAGGGAGGAGGAAACCCAUGCAGUCACUGGGAGAACAAAUUUCAAAAGCUGUGAACAAGGAAUGAGAGAAAAAAAAACGGCUUUAUUACUACCACUAUACAACCAGAUGAGAUCAAAAAGACCUGAUUAUCAAGGAUCAGAAUUAAGGAAUGAUUACAAACAGAAGCUGGAAAUCCAAGCAACACACACAAAAUGCUGGAGGAACUCAGCAGACCAGGCAGCAUCUAUGGAAAAGAGUACAGUCGGCGUUUUGGGCCGAGGCUCUUCAGCAGGACUGUAGGAGAAAAGGUUGGAGACUACCCAGAUGAAAUAUAAGGUGUUCUUCCUCCAAUCUGAGAGCAGCCUCAUUGUGACAGCAGAAGAAGCCAUGGAUGGACAUGUAGAUGUUUCAUUUAGCUGUAUACAUGUGUAUGGUUGAAUGACAAUAAACUUCAGCAUGAACUCGAACUGGAUCAGAG